This 252-nucleotide ribosomal RNA is filed under the name uncultured bacterium. RNAcentral's name for it is "partial 16S ribosomal RNA". It matches the Rfam family "Bacterial small subunit ribosomal RNA", at positions 524 to 776 of the family's 1533-position model. The record is from RNAcentral.
UACGAAGGGUGCAAGCGUUCCUCGGAAUUACUGGCGUAAAGCGUGCGUAGGUGGUUCGUUAAGUCUGAUGUGAAAGCCCUGGGCUCAACCUGGGAAUGGCAUUGGAAACUGGCGACCUAGAGUGCGGUAGAGGGUAGUGGAAUUCCCGGUGUAGCAGUGAAAUGCGUAGAGAUCGGGAGGAACAUCUGUGGCGAAGGCGACUGCCUGGACCAGCACUGACACUGAGGCACGAAGGUCAGGGGAGCAAACGGG